This 253-nucleotide ribosomal RNA is filed under the name uncultured bacterium. RNAcentral's name for it is "partial 16S ribosomal RNA". It matches the Rfam family "Bacterial small subunit ribosomal RNA", at positions 524 to 776 of the family's 1533-position model. The record is from RNAcentral.
UACGUAGGGUGCGAGCGUUGUCCGGAAUUAUUGGGCGUAAAGGGCGCGUAGGCGGCCUGUUAAGUCGAACGUGAAAUCCCCGGGCUCAACCCGGGAACUGCGUCCGAUACUGGCAGGCUUGAAUCCGGGAGAGGGAUGCGGAAUUCCAGGUGUAGCGGUGAAAUGCGUAGAUAUCUGGAGGAACACCGGUGGCGAAGGCGGCAUCCUGGACCGGCAUUGACGCUGAGGCGCGAAAGCCAGGGGAGCAAACGGG